CGCCCUUCAGAGGGGGACGAACAGUUGGAAACGACUGCUAAUACCGCAUACGAUCUAAUCUCGGCAUCGAGGAUAGAUGAAAGGUGGCCUCUACAUGUAAGCUAUCACUGAAGGAGGGGAUUGCGUCUGAUUAGCUAGUUGGAGGGGUAACGGCCCACCAAGGCGAUGAUCAGUAGCCGGUCUGAGAGGAUGAACGGCCACAUUGGGACUGAGACACGGCCCAGACUCCUACGGGAGGCAGCAUG
This 245-nucleotide ribosomal RNA is filed under the name uncultured bacterium. Its description in RNAcentral is "partial 16S ribosomal RNA". It matches the Rfam family "Bacterial small subunit ribosomal RNA", at positions 127 to 353 of the family's 1533-position model. The record is from RNAcentral.